This 496-nucleotide ribosomal RNA is filed under the name uncultured bacterium. RNAcentral describes it as "partial 16S ribosomal RNA". It matches the Rfam family "Bacterial small subunit ribosomal RNA", at positions 28 to 506 of the family's 1533-position model. The record is from RNAcentral.
GAUGAACGCUGGCGGCGUGCCUAAUACAUGCAAGUCGAGCGAACAGACGAGGAGCUUGCUCCUUUGACGUUAGCGGCGGACGGGUGAGUAACACGUAGGUAACCUACCUAUAAGACUGGGAUAACUUCGGGAAACCGGAGCUAAUACCGGAUAAUAUUUCGAACCGCAUGGUUCGAUAGUGAAAGAUGGCUUUGCUAUCACUUAUAGAUGGACCUGCGCCGUAUUAGCUAGUUGGUAAGGUAACGGCUUACCAAGGCAACGAUACGUAGCCGACCUGAGAGGGUGAUCGGCCACACGGGAACUGAGACACGGUCCAGACUCCUACGGGAGGCAGCAGUAGGGAAUCUUCCGCAAUGGGCGAAAGCCUGACGGAGCAACGCCGCGUGAGUGAUGAAGGUCUUCGGAUCGUAAAACUCUGUUAUUAGGGAAGAACAAACGUGUAAGUAACUGUGCACGUCUUGACGGUACCUAAUCAGAAAGCCACGGCGAACUACGU